UUAUACAGCGAAACUGCGAAUGGCUCAUUAUAUAAGUUAUCGUUUAUUUGAUAGUACCUUACUACUUGGAUAACCGUGGUAAUUCUAGAGCUAAUACAUGCUAAAAAUCCCGACUUCGGAAGGGAUGUAUUUAUUAGAUUAAAAACCAAUGCCCUCCGGGGCUCACUGGUGAUUCAUGAUAACUCCUCGAAUCGCAUGGCCUUGCGCCGGCGAUGGUUCAUUCAAAUUUCUUCCCUAUCAACUUUCGAUGUUUGGGUAUUGGCCAAACAUGGUUGCAACGGGUAACGGAGGGUUAGGGCUCGACCCCGGAGAAGGAGCCUGAGAAACGGCUACUACAUCCAAGGAAGGCAGCAGGCGCGCAAAUUACCCAAUCCCGACUCGGGGAGGUAGUGACAAUAAAUACUGAUACAGGGCUCUUUUGGGUCUUGUAAUUGGAAUGAGUACAAUUUAAAUCCCUUAACGAGGAACAAUUGGAGGGCAAGUCUGGUGCCAGCAGCCGCGGUAAUUCCAGCUCCAAUAGCGUAUAUUAAAGUUGUUGUGGUUAAAAAGCUCGUAGUUGAACCUUGGGCCUGGCUGGCCGGUCCGCCUCACCGCGUGUACUGGUCCGGCCGGGCCUUUCCCUCUGUGGAACCCCAUGCCCUUCACUGGGUGUGGCGGGGAAACAGGACUUUUACUGUGAAAAAAUUAGAGUGCUCCAGGCAGGCCUAUGCUCGAAUACAUUAGCAUGGAAUAAUAGAAUAGGACGUGUGGUUCUAUUUUGUUGGUUUCUAGGACCGCCGUAAUGAUUAAUAGGGACAGUCGGGGGCAUCAGUAUUCAAUUGUCAGAGGUGAAAUUCUUGGAUUUAUUGAAGACUAACUACUGCGAAAGCAUUUGCCAAGGAUGUUUUCAUUAAUCAGGAACGAAAGUUAGGGGAUCGAAGACGAUCAGAUACCGUCGUAGUCUUAACCAUAAACUAUGCCGACUAGGGAUCGGACGGUGUUAUAUUUUGACCCGUUCGGCACCUUACGAGAAAUCAAAGUGCUUGGGCUCCA
This 1032-nucleotide ribosomal RNA is filed under the name Fusarium sp. Its description in RNAcentral is "SSU rRNA". It matches the Rfam family "Eukaryotic small subunit ribosomal RNA", at positions 74 to 1116 of the family's 1831-position model. Lineage: Eukaryota; Fungi; Ascomycota; Sordariomycetes; Hypocreales; Nectriaceae. The record is from RNAcentral.